UGGGGAAUUUUGGACAAUGGGCGAAAGCCUGAUCCAGCAAUGCCGCGUGUGUGAAGAAGGCCUUCGGGUUGUAAAGCACUUUUGUCCGGAAAGAAAUCCUUGGCUCUAAUACAGUCGGGGGAUGACGGUACCGGAAGAAUAAGCACCGGCUAACUACGUGCCAGCAGCCGCGGUAAUACGUAGGGUGCAAGCGUUAAUCGGAAUUACUGGGCGUAAAGCGUGCGCAGGCGGUUUGCUAAGACCGAUGUGAAAUCCCCGGGCUCAACCUGGGAACUGCAUUGGUGACUGGCAGGCUAGAGUAUGGCAGAGGGGGGUAGAAUUCCACGUGUAGCAGUGAAAUGCGUAGAGAUGUGGAGGAAUACCGAUGGCGAAGGCAGCCCCCUGGGCCAAUACUGACGCUCAUGCACGAAAGCGUGGGGGAGCAAACAGGAUUAGAUACCCUGGUAGUCCACGCCCUAAACGAUGUCAACUAGUUGUUGGGGAUUCAUUUCCUUAGUAACGUAGCUAACGCGUGAAGUUGACCGCCUGGGGAGUACGGUCGCAAGAUUAAAACUUAAAGGAAUUGACGGGGUCAUGCUAUUUCCU
This 585-nucleotide ribosomal RNA is filed under the name uncultured bacterium. RNAcentral describes it as "partial 16S ribosomal RNA". It matches the Rfam family "Bacterial small subunit ribosomal RNA", at positions 355 to 932 of the family's 1533-position model. The record is from RNAcentral.